This 555-nucleotide ribosomal RNA is filed under the name uncultured archaeon. Its description in RNAcentral is "bacterial SSU rRNA". It matches the Rfam family "Archaeal small subunit ribosomal RNA", at positions 323 to 879 of the family's 1478-position model. The record is from RNAcentral.
CUUCGGGGCGCACCGGCGCGAAAACUCUACCAUGCAGGCAACUGCGAUAGGGGGACAUCGAGUGGCAUCCACCUUGGGUGCCUGUCCAACCGUCUAAAAAACGGUUGUUAGCAAGGGCCGGGUAAGACCGGUGCCAGCCGCCGCGGUAAUACCGGCGGCUCGAGUGGUGGCCGAUAUUAUUGAGUCUAAAGGGUCCGUAGCCGGCUUUGCAAGUCCCCUGGGAAAUCCAGCGGCUUAACCGUUGGGCUUUCAUGGGAUACUACAUUGCUUGGGACUGGGAGAGGUAGGAGGUACUCGAGGGGUAGGGGUGAAAUCCUGUAAUCCUUCGGGGACCACCGGUGGCGAAGGCGUCCUACCAGAACAGGUCCGACGGUGAGGGACGAAAGCUAGGGGCACGAACCGGAUUAGAUACCCGGGUAGUCCUAGCCGUAAACGAUGCCCGCUAGGUGUCACGACGGUCGUGAAUCGUCGUGGUGCCGUAGGGAAGCCGCGAAGCGGGCCACUUGGGAAGUACGACCGCAAGGUUGAAACUUAAAGGAAUUGGCGGGGGAGCAC